UGCAGCGACGCCGCGUGAGGGAUGACGGCCUUCGGGUUGUAAACCUCUUUCAGCAGGGACGAAGCGAAAGUGACGGUACCUGUAGAAGAAGGACCGGCCAACUACGUGCCAGCAGCCGCGGUAAUACGUAGGGUCCGAGCGUUGUCCGGAAUUACUGGGCGUAAAGAGCUCGUAGGUGGUUUGUCGCGUUGUUCGUGAAAACUCACAGCUCAACUGUGGGCGUGCGGGCGAUACGGGCAGACUUGAGUACUGCAGGGGAGACUGGAAUUCCUGGUGUAGCGGUGGAAUGCGCAGAUAUCAGGAGGAACACCGGUGGCGAAGGCGGGUCUCUGGGCAGUAACUGACGCUGAGGAGCGAAAGCGUGGGGAGCGAACAGGAUUAGAUACCCUGGUAGUCCACGCCGUAAACGGUGGGUACUAGGUGUGGGUUUCCUUCCUUGGGAUCCGUGCCGUAGCUAACGCAUUAAGUACCCCGCCUGGGGAGUACGGCCGCAAGGCUAAAACUCAAAGAAAUUGACGGGGGCCCGCACAAGCGGCGGAGCAUGUGGAUUAAUUCGAUGCAACGCGAAGAACCUUACCUGGGUUUGACAUGCACAGGACGCUGGUAGAGAUAUCAGUUCCCUUGUG
This 626-nucleotide ribosomal RNA is filed under the name Mycobacterium sp. So2Pw_1246. RNAcentral describes it as "bacterial SSU rRNA". It matches the Rfam family "Bacterial small subunit ribosomal RNA", at positions 387 to 1022 of the family's 1533-position model. The record is from RNAcentral. Lineage: Bacteria; Bacillati; Actinomycetota; Actinomycetes; Mycobacteriales; Mycobacteriaceae.